GCAAGUCGAGCGGACAGAAGGGAGCUUGCUCCCGGAUGUUAGCGGCGGACGGGUGAGUAACACGUGGGUAACCUGCCUGUAAGACUGGGAUAACUCCGGGAAACCGGAGCUAAUACCGGAUAGUUCCUUGAACCGCAUGGUUCAAGGAUGAAAGACGGUUUCGGCUGUCACUUACAGAUGGACCCGCGGCGCAUUAGCUAGUUGGUGGGGUAAUGGCUCACCAAGGCGACGAUGCGUAGCCGACCUGAGAGGGUGAUCGGCCACACUGGGACUGAGACACGGCCCAGACUCCUACGGGAGGCAGCAGUAGGGAAUCUUCCGCAAUGGACGAAAGUCUGACGGAGCAACGCCGCGUGAGUGAUGAAGGUUUUCGGAUCGUAAAGCUCUGUUGUUAGGGAAGAACAAGUGCGAGAGUAACUGCUCGCACCUUGACGGUACCUAACCAGAAAGCCACGGCUAACUACGUGCCAGCAGCCGCGGUAAUACGUAGGUGGCAAGCGUUGUCCGGAAUUAUUGGGCGUAAAGGGCUCGCAGGCGGUUUCUUAAGUCUGAUGUGAAAGCCCCCGGCUCAACCGGGGAGGGUCAUUGGAAACUGGGAAACUUGAGUGCAGAAGAGGAGAGUGGAAUUCCACGUGUAGCGGUGAAAUGCGUAGAGAUGUGGAGGAACACCAGUGGCGAAGGCGACUCUCUGGUCUGUAACUGACGCUGAGGAGCGAAAGCGUGGGGAGCGAACAGGAUUAGAUACCCUGGUAGUCCACGCCGUAAACGAUGAGUGCUAA
This 779-nucleotide ribosomal RNA is filed under the name Bacillus safensis. RNAcentral describes it as "bacterial SSU rRNA". It matches the Rfam family "Bacterial small subunit ribosomal RNA", at positions 57 to 819 of the family's 1533-position model. The record is from RNAcentral. Lineage: Bacteria; Bacillati; Bacillota; Bacilli; Caryophanales; Bacillaceae.